AGUGAACGCUGGCGGUAGGCCUAACACAUGCAAGUCGAACGGCAGCACAGUAAGCUCUUGCUCUUACGGGUGGCGAGUGGCGGACGGGUGAGGCAUACAUCGGAAUCUACUUUUUCGUGGGGGAUAACGUAGGGACACUUACGCUAAUACCGCAUACGACCUACGGGUGAAAGCAGUGGUUCUUCGCACCUUGCGCGAUUGAAUGAGCCGAUGUCGGAUUAGCUAGUUGGCGGGGUAAAGGCCCACCAAGGCGACGAUCCGUAGCUGGCCUGAGAGGAUGAUCAGCCACACUGGAACUGAGACACGGUCCAGACUCCUACGGGAGGCAGCAGUGGGGAAUAUUGGACAAUGGGCGCAAGCCUGAUCCAGCCAUACCGCGUGGGUGAAGAAGGCCUUCGGGUUGUAAAGCCCUUUUGUUGGGAAAGAAAAGCAGCAGGUUAAUACCCCGCUGUUCUGACGGUACCCAAAGAAUAAGCACCGGCUAACUUCGUG
RNAcentral lists this ribosomal RNA (492 nucleotides) under uncultured bacterium. RNAcentral describes it as "partial 16S ribosomal RNA". It matches the Rfam family "Bacterial small subunit ribosomal RNA", at positions 29 to 507 of the family's 1533-position model. The record is from RNAcentral.